RNAcentral lists this transfer RNA (76 nucleotides) under Candidatus Peregrinibacteria bacterium CG10_big_fil_rev_8_21_14_0_10_36_19. RNAcentral's name for it is "tRNA-Thr". It matches the Rfam family "tRNA". From Rfam's summary of the family: Transfer RNA (tRNA) molecules are approximately 80 nucleotides in length. The record is from RNAcentral. Lineage: Bacteria; Candidatus Peregrinibacteriota.
GCCACCUUAGCUCAGCUGGUAGAGCAACGGUUUUGUAAACCGUGGGUCAUCGGUUCGAAUCCGAUAGGUGGCUCCA